GGGGGUAUAGCUCGGUGGUAGAGCAUUUGACUGCAGAUCAAGAGGUCCCUGGUUCAAAUCCAGGUGCCCCCU
RNAcentral lists this transfer RNA (72 nucleotides) under Choloepus hoffmanni (Hoffmann's two-fingered sloth). RNAcentral's name for it is "tRNA-Cys (GCA) (tRNA-Cys-GCA-13-1)". It matches the Rfam family "tRNA". From Rfam's summary of the family: Transfer RNA (tRNA) molecules are approximately 80 nucleotides in length. Their secondary structure includes four short double-helical elements and three loops (D, anti-codon, and T loops). Further hydrogen bonds mediate the characteristic L-shaped molecular structure. tRNAs have two regions of fundamental functional importance: the anti-codon, which is responsible for specific mRNA codon recognition, and the 3' end, to which the tRNAs corresponding amino acid is attached (by aminoacyl-tRNA synthetases). tRNAs cope with the degeneracy of the genetic code in two manners: having more than one tRNA (with a specific anti-codon) for a particular amino acid; and 'wobble' base-pairing, i.e. permitting non-standard base-pairing at the 3rd anti-codon position. Lineage: Eukaryota; Metazoa; Chordata; Mammalia; Pilosa; Megalonychidae. The record is from RNAcentral.